RNAcentral lists this ribosomal RNA (394 nucleotides) under Aureococcus sp. RNAcentral describes it as "partial small subunit ribosomal RNA". It matches the Rfam family "Eukaryotic small subunit ribosomal RNA", at positions 582 to 975 of the family's 1831-position model. Lineage: Eukaryota; Pelagophyceae; Pelagomonadales; Pelagomonadaceae. The record is from RNAcentral.
AUUCCAGCUCCAAUAGCGUAUAUUAAAGUUGUUGCAGUUAAAAAGCUCGUAGUUGGAUUCCUGGCACGGGGUAGCCGGUCCGCCUUGCAAAAGGUGCGCACUGAGCGGCCUCGGCCAUCCUUGCGAUGGUCUAUCCUGGCAUUCAGUUGUCGGGGUGGGGAUUCGCGACGUUUACUGUGAAAAAAUCAGAGUGUUCAACGCAGGCUUACGCCUUGAAUACAUUAGCAUGGAAUAAUGAGAUAGGACCUUGGCGGUCUAUUUUGUUGGUUUGCACGCCGAGGUAAUGAUUAAAAGGGACGGUUGGGGUUCUUCGUAUUCAAUUGUCAGAGGUGAAAUUCUUGGAUUUAUGGAAGACGAACUGCUGCGAAAGCGUCGAACAAGGACGUUCUCAUCA